UGACCCAACGUCUAUUUUUUUCCAGGACA
RNAcentral lists this non-coding RNA (29 nucleotides) under Mus musculus (house mouse). Lineage: Eukaryota; Metazoa; Chordata; Mammalia; Rodentia; Muridae. The record is from RNAcentral.